AUUGAACGCUGGCGGCAUGCCUUACACAUGCAAGUCGAACGGCAGCACGGACUUCGGUCUGGUGGCGAGUGGCGAACGGGUGAGUAAUACAUCGGAACGUGCCCAGUAAUGGGGGAUAACGCAGCGAAAGUUGUGCUAAUACCGCAUACGCCCUGAGGGGGAAAGUGGGGGAUCGAAAGACCUCAUGUUAUUGGAGCGGCCGAUGGCUGAUUAGCUAGUUGGUGAGGUAAAGGCUCACCAAGGCGACGAU
Molecule: ribosomal RNA, 250 nt
Filed under: uncultured bacterium
Lineage: Bacteria
Description: partial 16S ribosomal RNA
Rfam family: Bacterial small subunit ribosomal RNA
Source: RNAcentral